Molecule: ribosomal RNA, 484 nt
Filed under: uncultured bacterium
Lineage: Bacteria
Description: partial 16S ribosomal RNA
Rfam family: Bacterial small subunit ribosomal RNA
Source: RNAcentral
AUUGAACGCUGGCGGCAGGCCUAACACAUGCAAGUCGAGCGGAUGAAGGGAGCUUGCUCCUGGAUUCAGCGGCGGACGGGUGAGUAAUGCCUAGGAAUCUGCCUGGUAGUGGGGGAUAACGUCCGGAAACGGGCGCUAAUACCGCAUACGUCCUGAGGGAGAAAGUGGGGGAUCUUCGGACCUCACGCUAUCAGAUGAGCCUAGGUCGUAUUAGCUAGUUGGUGGGGUAAAGGCCUACCAAGGCGACGAUCCGUAACUGGUCUGAGAGGAUGAUCAGUCACACUGGCACUUAAACACGGUCCAGGGUGCUACGGGAGGGCGCAGUAGGGAAUAUUGGACAAUGGGCGAAUGCCUAAUCCAGCCAUACCACGUCUGUGAAGAAGGUCUUCGGAUUGUAAAGCACUUUAGGUUGGGAGGAAGGGCAGUAAGUUAAUACCUUGCUGUUUUGACGUUACCGACAGAAUAAGCACCGGCUAACUUCGUG